RNAcentral lists this ribosomal RNA (440 nucleotides) under uncultured bacterium. RNAcentral's name for it is "partial 16S ribosomal RNA". It matches the Rfam family "Bacterial small subunit ribosomal RNA", at positions 338 to 795 of the family's 1533-position model. The record is from RNAcentral.
CCUACGGGCGGCAGCAGUGGGGGAUAUUGCACAAUGGGGGGAACCCUGAUGCAGCGACGCCGCGUGGGUGAAGAAGCGCCUCGGCGCGUAAAGCCCUGUCAGCAGGGAAGAAAAUGACGGUACCUGAAGAAGAAGCCCCGGCUAACUAAGUGCCAGCAGCCGCGGGAAUACGUAGGGGGCAAGCGUUAUCCGGAUUUACUGGGUGUAAAGGGGGCGCAGACGGCGAUGCAAGCCAGGAGGGAAAGCCCGGGGCCCAACCCCGGGACUGCUCUUGGAACUGCGUGGCUGGAGUGCAGGAGGGGCAGGCGGAAUUCCUGGUGUAGCGGUGAAAUGCGUAGAUAUCAGGAGGAACACCGGUGGCGAAGGCGGCCUGCUGGACUGCAACUGACGUUGAGGCCCGAAAGCGUGGGGAGCAAACAGGAUUAGAUACCCCUGUAGUC